GUUCUUCAAAGAGAGAAAAUAAUCCUUGAGGAAAAGCUGAAAAGAGCUUUACAGGAAGCUGAAAAUGCUAAUAAGCAACUUACAAACUUAGCAACAUCUGUCCCUGUUCAAGACACAGAAAUUGUUCAAGAUGCACCCACCAGUUACAAAAAUGCAGAAAAGGAUAAAAAUAAUGAUUCUGACAUUGAUAUGAAAAAAUAUGCUAAAGAUGCAUCUAAGAAGGGCCAAAAAUCAACUAAAACUGAAGGCAGCAGGGAAGAUCAUAUAGUGUCACCAUCCAAGUCCAUUAGUGAAGCUGAUGAAUUAGUACACAAAUUGCUAGCAAAGAACCAAGUGAAACAAGGAAUAAGGAAAAGUCCCGGAGAAAUGGAGGAAACUGAAGAAAUUGCAACACUGUCUCAAAAGAAGGAUGUUAAACUAGGAAAAAAAGGAUUAACAGAGGGAAAGAAGUCUGAAGAUCAUGGUGUUUCAGCAAGCAAGCUAAAAGAAAAAUACCUUUUUCAGGAGCAAGGAGAGUCAUAUAAACCUAAAGAAUUACUUUCUAGCAUGGAAGAGACUCCAAGACUUCCUGCUUAUCCAUCUGGACAGGAAAACAUGCAGUAUUCUUCUAAACAUGCUGAUGAGAAGCCAACAUCACUGUUAUCUGAUAAAACCCAGCAAAUGUCAACAGCAACCAGAGCAAACAGAAAAUCAGAGUCUCCUUUGAAAUUUGACCCCAAAGGACUGGUUACAGCUAAGAAAACGACAGAAGCAAAUGAAGGAGUUUCCCUGGAUAACAGCACAGGGGAGGAUGCAUGUGGCACCACCGAUUCAGAUUUUGUGAACCUUCCAGAAAUCCGAGGAGAGUCAGAGUCACAUUUCUCCUUAAACUGUCAAGAACAAUUAUGGCCCAAACCUUUAAAUGUACACGAAGAUUCACCCCAACUAAUCUCAGAAAGACAGAAGACUGCUAUGUCUGCUAAACCCAGUAUCCGAGGACAAGAUUGUUCUUUACCAUUGUAUGAAAACGAUAUGUUACCAUCAGUUUUACCUUCCAAAUAUCAAGAUGUGGCUCCUCUUAAAAGCUCCCUGACCAAUCAUAAAACAUCUUCUGAAUCUCAGAGUGCUGAAGAAGUUUCUCUUUUCUCUAUUGAAAAGAUACCCACUUCGGAGAUCCAGCAAAAAAUGCCUGCCGUUAUUACUCAAGAAGAUAAAAAGGCGCCUAUGCCAGUUCUUCCUGUCACACACACGACAAACGUAACUUUGGAAACUCACUCACCUGAGGGAGAAAAUCUUCCAUGGACUCAAAAAGAAGAAGUAGAUGUUAAAGAAAGACUUCCAUUAAUAACUCAAAUGAAUAAAAUGCAACAAGCAUCAACACUUUCACUGGCAGAAGCUGGUGUGAACACUGGGAAGAAAACAAUUGAGCUUUUGCACAGUAUGCUUGCUAAGCUGUCACCAGGUGUAGAAGAUCUGCAAGACAUAGAAGCUUUUGAAGACAGUGAAAUAGACAGCAUUACUGAGGAUAGAUUAAAUAAGCUACCAAAACUUCUUGGAAGCUUGGAGUCAAAUCUGAAAGACCUGCAGGAAGCACUGGCUCUGACAGAUGACCAAACAAGCAAUGUAAGUGAAAGUUGUGGAUAUGAGCUAAAAAGGAUUUUAGCUGCAAGUCUGGAAGCAAAACUGAAAGACCUGCAGCAAGUGGAGGCUUUCAUAGCAGAUCAACUAGGCAUACAUGGGUCUGAUGAAAAGCAACUAUAUGACAUCCCACAAACAAGACGACUUCUAUUGUCAAGUUUGGAACCAACUCUGAAAGACCUGCAAAUGGCAGAGGCUAAUAUAAUUAGUCUGCCAGACAGCAUAAAUGAGGACAGACUGAAGGAAUUAAUCAACCAAAAAAAUAUUUUGCUGUCAAGUCUGGAAAAAAAUUCACAAGAUUUGCAACAAGCACAGGCUAUUGUAGUAGACCAAGACGACAAAUACAGAUUUUAUGAGAAAAAAAUGCAGGACCUAACAGAAAAAAGAAAGCUUUUGCUUACCAGCCUGGAAUCGAAUUGGAGAGAUUUGCAACAGACUCAGGCUCUGGAUGCCAGCCAACUUCAUGACAUGAAUGAUAAUUGCUUUGGCAGCAAUUCUGAUUUUUUUGAAAGAAAAUCAGAGGUGACUGGAAAACAGCCUCUAAAUAGUAGAACUUUGCAGCUAGAAUGUAUUCUUUCAGCACUUCCACUUGAUCAAGACAGAAGCUUUGAAAUUUUUGCAGUUGUUAGCACUGAAAGAAAGAAUCCUGCUUCCAAAUCUUCCAUCAGCUCUGCCAUGUGUUCAAAGUGCAGACAAAUCCAUUGGAAGGACUAAAGAAACUUUGAUAGUUAUCAUCUCUGAUACCAGAAAAAGAGGCAAAAGAGUCGGAAUUCCAGCUCCACUAUGGCUGAAAUAUUGAAAUGCCUCCAAAGAUUAAACUCUGGGAUGUUCAAGAGCAACUGCAUGCCCGGAGUAAUUGCUGCUUCUCCUCAUUUUUUUACUCUGUGUUGUUGGGUUUGGUAUCCUUAGCUCUGAGUAGCCUUACUGCCAGCCUUUCAGAUUUAUGAUAUUUGCAGACUGUAUGACUAAACUAAAACUAAAAAACAAGUACUUCAUUUGCUGCCAGGCAGACAGUCCUAACCUGCUGGUACUGAAAUACAUGUUACUAAAC
Apteryx owenii (little spotted kiwi) is the source of this 2668-nucleotide long non-coding RNA. The record is from Ensembl. NCBI's taxonomy places the organism in Eukaryota, Metazoa, Chordata, Aves, Apterygiformes, Apterygidae.